GUGGGGAAUUUUCCGCAAUGGGCGAAAGCCUGACGGAGCAACGCCGCGUGGAUGAUGAAGUCUUUCGGGACGUAAAAUCCUUUCAGCAGGGACGAAGCGAGUGACGGUACCUGCAGAAGAAGCAUCGGCUAACUACGUGCCAGCAGCCGCGGUAAUACGUAGGAUGCGAGCGUUGUCCGGAAUUAUUGGGCGUAAAGAGAACGUAGGCGGCCGUCUAAGUUCGGUCUUAAAGACCGGGGCUCAACCCCGGGAAUGGACUGAAGACUGGGCGGCUGGAGGAUGUCAGAGGAAGGUGGAAUUCCCAGUGUAGCGGUGAAAUGCGUAGAUAUUGGGAGGAACACCUGUGGCGAAAGCGGCCUUCUGGGGCAUUCCUGACGCUGAGGUUCGAAAGCUCGGGGAGCAAACAGGAUUAGAUACCCGAGUAGUCC
This 428-nucleotide ribosomal RNA is filed under the name uncultured bacterium. Its description in RNAcentral is "bacterial SSU rRNA". It matches the Rfam family "Bacterial small subunit ribosomal RNA", at positions 354 to 796 of the family's 1533-position model. The record is from RNAcentral.